This is a non-coding RNA of Triticum urartu, 124 nucleotides long. Lineage: Eukaryota; Viridiplantae; Streptophyta; Magnoliopsida; Poales; Poaceae. The record is from Rfam.
AUAGUACCCUCCGUCUGAAAAUACUCGUCGAAAAAAUGGAUGUAUCUAAAUAUAUUUUAGUUCUAGAUACAUUCAUUUUUAUUUAUUUCUUCUGAUAAGUAUUUGCGGACGGAGGAAGUAUAUU